AUUGAACGCUGGCGGCAUGCUUUACACAUGCAAGUCGAACGGUAACAGGCCGCAAGGUGCUGACGAGUGGCGAACGGGUGAGUAAUGCAUCGGAACGUGCCCAGUCGUGGGGGAUAACUACUCGAAAGAGUAGCUAAUACCGCAUACGAUCUAUGGAUGGAAGCGGGGGACCGUAAGGCCUCGCGCGAUUGGAGCGGCCGAUGUCAGAUUAGGUAGUUGGUGGGGUAAAGGCUCACCAAGCCAACGAUCUGUAGCUGGUCUGAGAGGACGACCAGCCACACUGGGACUGAGACACGGCCCAGACUCCUACGGGAGGCAGCAGUGGGGAAUUUUGGACAAUGGGCGCAAGCCUGAUCCAGCAAUGCCGCGUGCAGGAAGAAGGCCUUCGGGUUGUAAACUGCUUUUGUACGGAACGAAACGGCUCUGGUUAAUACCCGGGGCUAAUGACGGUACCGGAAGAAUAAGCACCGGCUAACUACGUG
RNAcentral lists this ribosomal RNA (482 nucleotides) under uncultured bacterium. RNAcentral describes it as "partial 16S ribosomal RNA". It matches the Rfam family "Bacterial small subunit ribosomal RNA", at positions 30 to 507 of the family's 1533-position model. The record is from RNAcentral.